GGUAAAUAUGAGAAUAUGGCUUUUAUGGAGAGGGAUUGUUGGAAUUAUGUUGAACAGGUGAGACGAUUAGGCCUUGGAGAAGGAGAUGGCAUUGCAAUACAGGUGUACUUUUCAAAGUUGCAAGAAUGGUGCUCGUGAUUUCACUUCAGUAUGGAUUUAGACUAUGAGUCACGAACCCUUUCCUUUCCCAUCACACUUCUAAAUUCCUUUUCUCUUGCAAAAAGUCAGGCGCAUUAAUAUGUCCAUGUC
This 249-nucleotide long non-coding RNA is filed under the name Olea europaea (common olive). RNAcentral describes it as "long non-coding RNA (OEUR_LNC009332)". Lineage: Eukaryota; Viridiplantae; Streptophyta; Magnoliopsida; Lamiales; Oleaceae. The record is from RNAcentral.